Molecule: ribosomal RNA, 450 nt
Filed under: Streptococcus gordonii
Lineage: Bacteria; Bacillati; Bacillota; Bacilli; Lactobacillales; Streptococcaceae
Description: bacterial SSU rRNA
Rfam family: Bacterial small subunit ribosomal RNA
Source: RNAcentral
GAUGAACGCUGGCGGCGUGCCUAAUACAUGCAAGUAGAACGCACAGUUUAUACCGUAGCUUGCUACACCAUAGACUGUGAGUUGCGAACGGGUGAGUAACGCGUAGGUAACCUGCCUGGUAGCGGGGGAUAACUAUUGGAAACGAUAGCUAAUACCGCAUAAUAUUAAUUAUUGCAUGAUAAUUAAUUGAAAGGUGCAAUUGCACCACUACCAGAUGGACCUGCGUUGUAUUAGCUAGUAGGUGAGGUAACGGCUCACCUAGGCGACGAUACAUAGCCGACCUGAGAGGGUGAUCGGCCACACUGGGACUGAGACACGGCCCAGACUCCUACGGGAGGCAGCAGUAGGGAAUCUUCGGCAAUGGACGAAAGUCUGACCGAGCAACGCCGCGUGAGUGAAGAAGGUUUUCGGAUCGUAAAGCUCUGGUGUAAAGAGAAGAAACCGGGUGUG